Molecule: ribosomal RNA, 421 nt
Filed under: uncultured bacterium
Lineage: Bacteria
Description: bacterial SSU rRNA
Rfam family: Bacterial small subunit ribosomal RNA
Source: RNAcentral
CCAGGGUUUGACAUCCUGCGAAUCUUUUGGAAACAGAAGAGUGCCUUCGGGAACGCAGUGACAGGUGGUGCAUGGCUGUCGUCAGCUCGUGUCGUGAGAUGUUGGGUUAAGUCCCGCAACGAGCGCAACCCACGUCGUUAGUUGCCAGCAUUUAGUUGGGCACUCUAGCGAGACCGCCGGUGAUAAACCGGAGGAAGGUGUGGAUGACGUCAAGUCAUCAUGCCCCUUACAUCCUGGGCUACACACGUACUACAAUGCUACGGACAAAGGGCAGCAAACUCGCGAGAGCUAGCAAAUCCCAUAAACCGUGGCUCAGUUCAGAUCGUAGGCUGCAACUCGCCUACGUGAAGGAGGAAUCGCUAGUAAUCGCAGGUCAGCAUACUGCGGUGAAUACGUUCCCGGGUCUUGUACACACGCAAUC